AUGAAAGGCGCAGAUAGAACUAUGAGACCUCAAAGAGGGAACAAUGGCUUCAGAUUUGAAGCAAAGUGGUUGCAGGAGGAGGGAUGUGAAGAGAUAGUCAGGAAUGCAUGGUCCGACGCGUCUUUUCGAGGCGAAAAUGAUUUAUCUCGGGAACUAAGAAGAAUCGCGGGAGAUCUAAAAAAUUGGGACACUAAUGUGUUAGGGGGUCUAGAGAAAAGAAUUAAAACAAUAAAAACUGAGCUAGAACAUGUGAGGAGAGCACCGAUUGACGAGAACACGGUGUCUCGAGAGCAUCUCUUGAGGGAAAAGCUGGAUAGACUGGACCACCAACAGGACAUAUUCUGGAGAUAG
RNAcentral lists this ribosomal RNA (351 nucleotides) under Triticum aestivum (bread wheat). RNAcentral's name for it is "partial small subunit ribosomal RNA". Lineage: Eukaryota; Viridiplantae; Streptophyta; Magnoliopsida; Poales; Poaceae. The record is from RNAcentral.